AGAGUUUGAUCCUGGCUCAGGACGAACGCUGGCGGCGUGCUUAACACAUGCAAGUCGAACGGAAAGGCCCAGCUUGCUGGGUACUCGAGUGGCGAACGGGUGAGUAACACGUGGGUGAUCUGCCCUGCACUCUGGGAUAAGCCUGGGAAACUGGGUCUAAUACCGGAUAUGACCAACUGUCGCAUGGUGGUUGGUGGAAAGCUUUUGCGGUGUGGGAUGGGCCCGCGGCCUAUCAGCUUGUUGGUGGGGUAAUGGCCUACCAAGGCGACGACGGGUAGCCGACCUGAGAGGGUGAUCGGCCACACUGGGACUGAGACACGGCCCAGACUCCUACGGGAGGCAGCAGUGGGGAAUAUUGCACAAUGGGCGCAAGCCUGAUGCAGCGACGCCGCGUGAGGGAUGACGGCCUUCGGGUUGUAAACCUCUUUCACCAGGGACGAAGCGGAAGUGACGGUACCUGGAGAAGAAGCACCGGCCAACUACGUGCCAGCAGCCGCGGUAAUACGUAGGGUGCGAGCGUUGUCCGGAAUUACUGGGCGUAAAGAGCUCGUAGGCGGUUUGUCGCGUCGUCUGUGAAAUUCUGCAACUCAAUUGCAGGCGUGCAGGCGAUACGGGCAGACUUGAGUACUACAGGGGAGACUGGAAUUCCUGGUGUAGCGGUGAAAUGCGCAGAUAUCAGGAGGAACACCGGUGGCGAAGGCGGGUCUCUGGGUAGUAACUGACGCUGAGGAGCGAAAGCGUGGGUAGCGAACAGGAUUAGAUACCCUGGUAGUCCACGCCGUAAACGGUGGGUACUAGGUGUGGGUUCCUUUUCACGGGAUCCGUGCCGUAGCUAACGCAUUAAGUACCCCGCCUGGGGAGUACGGCCGCAA
This 872-nucleotide ribosomal RNA is filed under the name Gordonia sp. CNJ832 PL04. Its description in RNAcentral is "bacterial SSU rRNA". It matches the Rfam family "Bacterial small subunit ribosomal RNA", at positions 8 to 891 of the family's 1533-position model. The record is from RNAcentral. Lineage: Bacteria; Bacillati; Actinomycetota; Actinomycetes; Mycobacteriales; Gordoniaceae.